UACGUAGGGAGUAAGCGUUGUUCGGAAUUACUGGGCGUAAAGGGUGUGUAGGCGGGAGCGCAAGUUGGGGGUGAAAUCUACGGGCUCAACUCGUAAACUGCCCUCAAAACUGCGUUUCUUGAGUAUGGGAGAGGAGUCUGGAAUUCCCAGUGUAGGGGUGAAAUCUGUAGAUAUUGGGAAGAACAUCAGUGGCGAAGGCGAGACUCUGGCCUGAUACUGACGCUGAGACACGAAAGCGUGGGGAGCAAACAGG
Molecule: ribosomal RNA, 253 nt
Filed under: uncultured bacterium
Lineage: Bacteria
Description: partial 16S ribosomal RNA
Rfam family: Bacterial small subunit ribosomal RNA
Source: RNAcentral